UUAGAGUUUGAUUCUGGCUCAGGAUGAACGCUAGCGGCAGGCUUAACACAUGCAAGUCGAGGGGCAGCAUGUCCAGCAAUGGAUGAUGGCGACCGGCGGAAGGGUGCGUAACGCGUGAGCAACAUGCCCUAUACAGGGAGAUACACCAGGGAAACUUGGUCUAAUAUCCCAUAGCAUUCAUUGAAGGCAUCUUUAAUGAAUUAAAGCUUCGGUGGUAUAGGAUUGGCUCGCGUGACAUUAGCCAGAUGGUGAGGUAACGGCUCACCAUAGCAAUGAUGUCUAGGGGUUUUGAGAGGAAGGCCCCCCACACUGGGACUGAGACACGGACCAGACUCCUACGGGAGGCAGCAGUGAGGAAUAUUGGUCAAUGGACGCAAGUCUGAACCAGCCACGUCGCGUGAAGGAAGACGGCCCUACGGGUUGUAAACUUCUUUUGUAAGGGAAUAAAGUGAGUCACGUGUGGCUUUUUGCAUGUACCUUACGAAUAAGGAUCGGCUAACUCCGUGCCAGCAGCCGCGGUAAUACGGAGGAUCCGAGCGUUAUCCGGAUUUAUUGGGUUUAAAGGGUGCUCAGGCGGGCCAUUAAGUCGGCGGUGAAAUUUUGCGGCUCAACCGUAAAAGUGCCUUCGAUACUGGUGGUCUUGAGUGUGGAUGAGGUAGGCGGAAUUUGUGGUGUAGCGGUGAAAUGCAUAGAUAUCACGAGAAACUCCGAUUGCUAAGGCAGCUUACUAAGCCAUAACUGACGCUCAAGCACGAAGGCGUGGGGAUCAAACAGGAUUAGAUACCCUGGUAGUCCACGCAGUAAACGAAAAAGCUGGCUGUUUGCGAUAUAUUGUAAAGGGGCUGGGGGAAAGCGUUAAGUAAUCCACCUGGGAGGGACGUUCGCAAGAAUGAAACUCAAAAGGAAUGACGGGGGCCCGCACAAGCGGAGGAACAUGUGGUUUAAUUCGAUGAUACGCGAGGAACCUUACCCGGGCUUGAAAUGCAGAUGACAGGCGGCGAGAACCGUUUUUCCUUCGGGACAUCUGUGUAGGUGCUGCAUGGUUGUCGUCAGCUCGUGCCGUGAGGUGUCGGCUUAAGUGCCAUAACGAGCGCAACCCUCAUCGUUAGUUGCCAUCAGGUCAAGCUGGGGACUCUAACGGGGCUGCCAUCGUAAGAUGUGAGGAAGGUGGGGAUGACGUCAAAUCAGCACGGCCCUUACGUCCGGGGCGACACACGUGUUACAAUGGGUGGUACAAAGGGCAGCUACCGGGCGACCGGAUGCCAAUCUCUAAAACCACUCUCAGUUCGGAUCGGAGUCUGCAACUCGACUCCGUGAAGCUGGAUUCGCUAGUAAUCGCGCAUCAGCCACGGCGCGGUGAAUAAAAGCCCGGGCCUUGCACUCACCGCCCGUCA
RNAcentral lists this ribosomal RNA (1394 nucleotides) under uncultured bacterium. RNAcentral describes it as "16S ribosomal RNA". It matches the Rfam family "Bacterial small subunit ribosomal RNA". The record is from RNAcentral.